Molecule: long non-coding RNA, 302 nt
Filed under: Rattus norvegicus (Norway rat)
Lineage: Eukaryota; Metazoa; Chordata; Mammalia; Rodentia; Muridae
Description: long non-coding RNA NONRATT009343
Source: RNAcentral
CGAAUGGCCGAGAAACACCUAAAGAAAUGUUCAACAUCUUUAGUCAUAAGGGAAAUGCAAAUCAAAACAACCCUGAGAUUUCACCUCACACCAGUGAGAAUGGCUAAGAUCAAAAACUCAGGUGACAGCAGAUGCUGGCGAGGAUGCAGAGAAAGAGGAACACUCCUCCAUUGUUGGUGGGAUUGCAGACUGGUACAACCAUUCUGGAAAUCAGUCUGGAGGUUCCUCAGAAAAUUGGACAUUGAACUACCUGAGGACCCAGCUAUACCUCUCUUGGGCAUAUACCCAAAAGAUGCUCCAAC